RNAcentral lists this ribosomal RNA (506 nucleotides) under uncultured bacterium. Its description in RNAcentral is "partial 16S ribosomal RNA". It matches the Rfam family "Bacterial small subunit ribosomal RNA", at positions 28 to 523 of the family's 1533-position model. The record is from RNAcentral.
GACGAACGCUGGCGGCGCGCUUAACACAUGCGAGUCGAGCGAGAACCAGGCUUCGGCCUGGGGAAAGCGGCGAGCGGGUGAGUAACACGUGGGUAACCCACCCUUGGCACUGGGAUAGCCCGAGGAAACUCGGAUUAAUACCGGAUGGCCCAACAGCUCUUCGGAGCGGUUGGAAAAGGUAGCUUCGGCCUCCGGCCAAGGACGGGCCCGCGGCGGAUUAGCUGGUUGGUGGGGUAACGGCCAACCAAGGCGACGACCCGUAGCUGGCCUGAGAGGACGAUCAGCCACACUGGGACUGAGACACGGCCCAGACUCCUACGGGAGGCAGCAGUGGGGAAUCUUGCGCAAAGGGCGAAAGCCUGACGCAGCGACGCCGCGUGGGGGAAGAAGGCUUUCGGGUUGUAAACCCCUUUCAGGAGGGACGAAGCCACUCGGGUGAAUAGCCCAGAGGGUGACGGUACCUCCAGAAGAAGCCCCGGCUAACUACGUGCCAGCCGCCGCGGUAA